This 270-nucleotide long non-coding RNA is filed under the name Lathyrus oleraceus (garden pea). Its description in RNAcentral is "Pisum sativum (pea) long non-coding RNA (PSAT_LNC000306)". The record is from RNAcentral. Lineage: Eukaryota; Viridiplantae; Streptophyta; Magnoliopsida; Fabales; Fabaceae.
AUAUUUUUGAAUAAUUUAUAACAACCGAGAAGAUUAUAGAAAAGUUUGACAUGACGAAGUAUUUCAAGUAGCUUCGAAGGUACAAACAACAAAUUUGAUAAUGUGGAAAAAGGUGUGCAUCUUAUCUAAUUAACACUCAAUUAUCUUACUCUAAUGUUACUUAUUAAAUAAUGACAGUUUUAUUAUAUGAAGUGUGAGUUAACUAUUUCUUCACUAAAUUUUUUCUUUUGAGAAGAAAAAUACUUUAUUCCAAAAACAAUAGAGUACAAG